GGGCCAGUAGCUCAGCUUGGAUAGAGCGUCUGCCUUCUAAGCAGAAGGUCGGGAGUUCAAAUCUUCCCUGGCCCG
This 75-nucleotide transfer RNA is filed under the name Candidatus Woesearchaeota archaeon. Its description in RNAcentral is "tRNA-Arg". It matches the Rfam family "tRNA". Rfam says of the family: Transfer RNA (tRNA) molecules are approximately 80 nucleotides in length. Lineage: Archaea; Nanobdellati; Candidatus Woesearchaeota. The record is from RNAcentral.